Molecule: ribosomal RNA, 595 nt
Filed under: Exserohilum rostratum
Lineage: Eukaryota; Fungi; Ascomycota; Dothideomycetes; Pleosporales; Pleosporaceae
Description: eukaryotic LSU rRNA
Rfam family: 5.8S ribosomal RNA (bases 210-363)
Source: RNAcentral
UUCCCUUGGGGGUCCUGCGGAGGGAUCAUUACACAACAAAAAUAUGAGGGUGUGGUUUGCUGGCAACAGCGUCCGCCCCAAGUAUUUUUCACCCAUGUCUUUUGCGCACUUUUUGUUUCCUGGGCGAGUUCGCUCGCCACCAGGACCCAACCAUAAACCUUUUUUUAUGCAGUUGCAAUCAGCGUCAGUAUAAUAAUUCAAUUUAUUAAAACUUUCAACAACGGAUCUCUUGGUUCUGGCAUCGAUGAAGAACGCAGCGAAAUGCGAUACGUAGUGUGAAUUGCAGAAUUCAGUGAAUCAUCGAAUCUUUGAACGCACAUUGCGCCCUUUGGUAUUCCAAAGGGCAUGCCUGUUCGAGCGUCAUUUGUACCCUCAAGCUUUGCUUGGUGUUGGGCGUCUUUUUGUCUCUCCCCUUGUUGGGGGAGACUCGCCUUAAAACGAUUGGCAGCCGACCUACUGGUUUUCGGAGCGCAGCACAAAUUUGCGCCUUCCAAUCCACGGGGCGGCAUCCAGCAAGCCUUUGUUUUCUAUAACAAAUCCACAUUUUGACCUCGGAUCAGGUAGGGAUACCCGCUGAACUUAAGCAUAUCAAAAU